UACGGAGGUGGCAAGCGUUGUUCGGAAUUACUGGGCGUAAAGAGCUCGUAGGCGGCUUAGUAAGUCGGGUGUGAAACCUCCAGGCUCAACCUGGAGACGCCACCCGAUACUGCUGUGGCUAGAGUCCGGUAGGGGAGCGUGGAAUUCCUGGUGUAGCGGUGAAAUGCGCAGAUAUCAGGAGGAACACCAGCGGCGAAGGCGGCGCUCUGGGCCGGUACUGACGCUGAGGAGCGAAAGCGUGGGGAGCAAACAGG
RNAcentral lists this ribosomal RNA (254 nucleotides) under uncultured bacterium. RNAcentral describes it as "partial 16S ribosomal RNA". It matches the Rfam family "Bacterial small subunit ribosomal RNA", at positions 524 to 776 of the family's 1533-position model. The record is from RNAcentral.